RNAcentral lists this long non-coding RNA (345 nucleotides) under Mustela putorius furo (domestic ferret). Its description in RNAcentral is "lncRNA (ENSMPUG00000025880.1)". Lineage: Eukaryota; Metazoa; Chordata; Mammalia; Carnivora; Mustelidae. The record is from RNAcentral.
AAGGAAGCCGCUUCUGGAAUAUCCAGCCGGGUCUUCUGAAAACCAUGCUCUGCAUUCACGGCGACACAUGGAACCUGCGCAAAUGCUGCCAUGACACCUGUACCGGCACCGCGACCACGGGAUGGCAGACGAGGGUGUUGUCGUUUCUGGUCAAUGAAGAAAUUGUACAUAGGUACUUAGACCAUGGUUCAUUUGAAGACCCUGACUGGACUUCAGCAUGUGCCGGGACCCCCAAACCACAGUGAUCAAGGCAGACAGAUUAGCAUUCUCGGCUCUGCGAGUGACCGGUGCUCCACGGCACUGUGGUUUCAUCACGGAGGGAACCUCCAUCCACCUGUUCUCCCC